This 23-nucleotide non-coding RNA is filed under the name Mus musculus (house mouse). The record is from RNAcentral. Lineage: Eukaryota; Metazoa; Chordata; Mammalia; Rodentia; Muridae.
UGUAAAAUGGACUGAAAUGUUAC